UACGUAGGGUGCAAGCGUUGUCCGGAAUUAUUGGGCGUAAAGAGCUCGUAGGCGGUUUGUCGCGUCUGCUGUGAAAUCCGAGGCUCAACCUCGGGUCUGCAGUGGGUACGGGCAGACUAGAGUGUGGUAGGGGAGAUUGGAAUUCCUGGUGUAGCGGUGGAAUGCGCAGAUAUCAGGAGGAACACCGAUGGCGAAGGCAGAUCUCUGGGCCAUUACUGACGCUGAGACGCGAAAGCGUGGGGAGCGAACCGG
Molecule: ribosomal RNA, 252 nt
Filed under: uncultured bacterium
Lineage: Bacteria
Description: partial 16S ribosomal RNA
Rfam family: Bacterial small subunit ribosomal RNA
Source: RNAcentral